RNAcentral lists this long non-coding RNA (238 nucleotides) under Monodelphis domestica (gray short-tailed opossum). RNAcentral describes it as "lncRNA (ENSMODG00000037927.1)". Lineage: Eukaryota; Metazoa; Chordata; Mammalia; Didelphimorphia; Didelphidae. The record is from RNAcentral.
UUUCCUUUUGUCUGGUUGGCCAGUAAUUGACUUUGUCCUUUUUUCAUUUAUUUCUCAGCCUCCUGGUUGUAGCAUCUUCUCCCUGGAGUCUCAGCAUUCCUGGAAGCCUAGGAAGACGCUUGAAACGUAGAGAAGUGGAGCUAGACAUUUGGCAAGGUCUGAUGGGCAGUGAUCCACCUGACAGAUGACAGGUUAGAUUGGUUAGUCACCAGGACUGGGGCACAGUGCAAAGAAAUCA